GUCUAAGAAAAGUCUAUAGUGAACCGGUUGAGAAGUAGGCCUUAUUAGCUACAAUCGCCAACUAGAGAUCCUUAGAAGCAAACUAAGGAGGAGGCCAUCUUAGUGUUGAUUUGAUCUCCGAGGCACCCCUCCAUAUGUGACUUAGCAGGCUCAGUAUUAGUAACAAUAACAGCCUUUUUGAGGAUGUAGAUAUACCUUCAAGGUUUGAAAGCAGUACUUAGGUCUUACAACAACAAAAAUGGUACACCUACUAUAUACCUAGUAGGGCUGGGCU
RNAcentral lists this long non-coding RNA (274 nucleotides) under Elaeis guineensis (African oil palm). RNAcentral's name for it is "long non-coding RNA (EGUI_LNC044521)". Lineage: Eukaryota; Viridiplantae; Streptophyta; Magnoliopsida; Arecales; Arecaceae. The record is from RNAcentral.